RNAcentral lists this ribosomal RNA (257 nucleotides) under uncultured prokaryote. Its description in RNAcentral is "partial 16S ribosomal RNA". It matches the Rfam family "Bacterial small subunit ribosomal RNA", at positions 524 to 780 of the family's 1533-position model. The record is from RNAcentral.
UACGGAGGAUGCAAGCGUUAUCCGGAUUUAUUGGGUUUAAAGGGUGCGCAGGUUGUUUGAUAAGUCAGUGGUGAAAGUCUGUCGCUUAACGGUAGGAUUGCCGUUGAUACUGUUGGACUUGAAUAUGGAUGAGGUAGGCGGAAUGUGUAGUGUAGCGGUGAAAUGCAUAGAUAUUACACAGAACACCGAUUGCGAAGGCAGCUUACUAAUCCAUCAUUGACGCUGAGGCACGAAAGCGUGGGGAUCAAACAGGAUUA